GCCGGGCAUGGUGGCGCAUGCCUGUAAUCCCAGCUACUCAGGAGGCUGAGGCAGGAGAAUUGCUUGAACCCUGGAAGCGGAGGUUGCAGUGAGCCGAGAUUGCACCCUUGCAAUUCAGCCUGGGUGACAGAGUGAGACUCUGUCUCAA
This is an unclassified non-coding RNA of Papio anubis (olive baboon), 148 nucleotides long. It matches the Rfam family "Metazoan signal recognition particle RNA". From Rfam's summary of the family: The signal recognition particle (SRP) is a universally conserved ribonucleoprotein. The record is from Ensembl. NCBI's taxonomy places the organism in Eukaryota, Metazoa, Chordata, Mammalia, Primates, Cercopithecidae.